Molecule: ribosomal RNA, 247 nt
Filed under: uncultured bacterium
Lineage: Bacteria
Description: partial 16S ribosomal RNA
Rfam family: Bacterial small subunit ribosomal RNA
Source: RNAcentral
AUACGUAGGUGGCAAGCGUUGUCCGGAUUUAUUGGGCGUAAAGCGAGUGCAGGCGGUCUUUUAAGUCUGAUGUGAAAGCCCUCGGCUUAACCGAGGAAGCGCAUCGGAAACUGGGAAACUUGAGUGCAGAAGAGGACGGUGGAACUCCAUGUGUAGCGGUGAAAUGCGUAGAUAUAUGGAAGAACACCAGUGGCGAAGGCGGCUGUCUGGUCUGUAACUGACGCUGAGGCUCGAAAGCAUGGGUAGC